AGCAGCAGCCACGGGAACACCGAGGAUGCAAGCGUUAUCCGGAAUGAUUGGGCGUAAAGUGUCUGUAGGUGGCUUUUCAAGUCCGCCGUCAAAUCCCAGGGCUCAACCCUGGACAGGCGGUGGAAACUACCAAGCUGGAGUAUGGUAGGGGCAGAGGGAAUUUCCGGUGGAGCGGUGAAAUGCGUUGAGAUCGGAAAAAACACCAACGACGAAAGCACUCUGCUGGGCCGACACUGACACUUAGAGACGAAAGCUAGGGGAGCAAAUGGGAUUAGAUACCCCGGUAGUCCCUGUCUCUUAUAC
This 303-nucleotide ribosomal RNA is filed under the name uncultured bacterium. Its description in RNAcentral is "partial 16S ribosomal RNA". It matches the Rfam family "Bacterial small subunit ribosomal RNA", at positions 507 to 807 of the family's 1533-position model. The record is from RNAcentral.